CGACAGCCACCGCCGAGCCCUAGCUUGGGGCCCGCGCGCCCUGGGCUGCCUCUCUCCCUUCCGCCCGCAGUUCUUCCGCCAAAACCUUUGACCAGGGUCUCCUUGCCAACAUUCCUAAAUCUUUUUUUUUUUUUUUUUUUUUUUUUUUGCCAGCUCUUUGCGCCAGGUAGGAAUAGGGCUCUGCUUUGGGGUGUGCACAGAAGCGCGGUUUCCAGAAGGUGUCUGACCUUUUCACCUUCCCUGCGAACUCCUCCGCGGGCAUCUACCCCUCUCAAGGGCCUGAUCUGCGGCCAAAACCUGUUUGUUCCCUGAGAUGUCCUUGCUAUUCAUAUCCGCAGAGGCUUUCUGCAGCAGUUCCCGGAAAGUCCUCGGGAUGGAACUGGGGGCAUCCAACCCACAGUGAGGACGCGCCGCCUUAGGAGGCGGGGGUGGGCAGGAGCUGGAGGGCCGGCGUGACAAUGGCCUGUGGCCCGAGCGGGCGCCGUGAGAGUCCUGCCAAGAGCAACACCCCGCCCCGUUCUCGCUGGUCCGGGAUGCACACAAACCGCGGCCACCGGACCCCUAAUUUCCAAACCCGGAGCACCUGGGUUCUCAGUCAGAAGGCUGGGCGGGGUCAGGCGACGACUGCCCCCUAGCUGGAAGGCGCAUUGCUCCUACCCUGUGGCGUCCCUCUGCCCCGGAGGAGAGGGCACUGUAUCUCGGGUAACAAUGGAGCCCGCGGCGCGCGACGGGCACCCGGGCACGCCAGGCGCCCAGCCGCGCGCCCCGAUACCCAGUAGGGAAGCCGGGUGGGGCUGCAGCCCAGCCUCUCCCGCGCGAGUCUUCUGACUCGGCUCUACGUGGCAGCAACACGGGACACCCCGGACCUCCCCUGGGCGCCAGCUCCUCGGCCCCAACGGGUCCAGAAACAAGCCGGAUUUUUUUUCUCUCUUCUUUCUGGAAAUUGGCGUUGGUGUGUGUUUCCCUACCUCCCUCUUCCCCCCUCCCACUCCCCCCUUUUUUUUUGAGACAUGGCCCGGGCAGUGACUCCUGGAAGAGGAACAAGUGUGGGAAAAGAGAGAGGAAACCGGAGCUAAAUGACAGGAUGCAGGCGACUUGAGACACAAAAAGAGGAGCGUUUCUCUCGGAUCAAGGCAGUGCCUCGCCGCUUUCCUUUCUCCAAGACGGACUGAGGAUUUUACAGCUCUGGGGGGAAAACAGAGCGCCGCCCCAGGGCGAAUCUCCAACAAUCCGG
Molecule: long non-coding RNA, 1234 nt
Filed under: Sus scrofa (pig)
Lineage: Eukaryota; Metazoa; Chordata; Mammalia; Artiodactyla; Suidae
Description: lncRNA (ENSSSCG00070003013.1)
Source: RNAcentral